GCUUCUUGAAGAUGUCUCACCGUUGCCUCCAUUGGCUUUUGUACUAGGUAGUAAGAUGUAAAGGGGAAAGAAUUUUUAGUGAUGGUUUCUUUUCAGUGUGUUUGUCUCCUGUAAGAUUGUGGCCAGCACAGUAGCUGUGCGUCAGCAACGAAGUCUAGUUACAGGCUUCGGUGUUAGAAGGAGAUUGAGUCAGUUCCUCUGGUUGCUGUAUUUGGACUCAUCUGAUGGCCAACAUCCAUCCGGAUUUGUCUUUCUACUAACAGCCCACCUUCUGACUGACCGUGUAGGAUCAAAGGUUUGGAUGCUUUUCUGACUAACCAUCACCAGAACAGCUCAGGGAGAGAUCACUGGGUACUGUGAUUUAGUGUGAGGAGGAGGAAGGAACAGACAGGCGAGCUGAGACCAGCAGAGCAGAAUUGCUUUGGCUGCUGUGGCAUUGCAGUUUCAGUCUCAGUACUGAGGUUAAUUGUCUGGUAGCUUCAAGUACACAGCAGUGAUAAAAAGUCUGCUGAUUUCCAUCAUAGCUUCAGGGUUAGCUAGCAGAGGCUAAGCACUUAACAUGGAGGCUGCAGAAAUGGGUUUACGUUUGACUUAAGGUGGGUUUCCUUCUGAUAUUAGGAAUUCCGUCUCUUACGUGCAAGCAUUUGGCAAUAAAUAAAGAUCAACAGUGGGA
RNAcentral lists this long non-coding RNA (673 nucleotides) under Anser brachyrhynchus (Pink-footed goose). RNAcentral describes it as "lncRNA (ENSABRG00000018606.1)". The record is from RNAcentral. Lineage: Eukaryota; Metazoa; Chordata; Aves; Anseriformes; Anatidae.